GGGAGGAGAGGGGUAGAAUAGAAAGGGAGGAGAGGAGUAGAAUAGAAAGGGAGGAGAGGAGUAGAAUAGAAAGGGAGGAGAGGAAUAGAAUAGAAAGAGAGGAGUAGAAUAGAAAGAGAGGAGAGGAGAGGAAUAGAAUAGAAAGAGAGGAGUAGAAUAGAAAGAGAGGAGAGGAGUAGAAUAGAAAGAGAGGAGAGGAGUAGAAUAGAAAGAGAGGAGAGGAGAGGAGUAGAAUAGAAAGAGAGGAGAGGAAUAGAAUAGAGAGGAGAGGAGAGGAGUAGAAUAGAAAGAGAGGAGAGGAGAGGAGUAGAAUAGAAAGAGAGGAGAGGAGUAGAAUAGAAAGAGAGGAGAGGAAGAGAGAGGAAGGAGAGGAGAGGAAUAGAAAGAGAGGAGAGGAGUAGAAUAGAAAGAGAGGAGAGGAGAGGAGUAGAAUAGAAAGAGAGGAGAGGAGAGGAAUAGAAAGGGAGGAGAGGAGAGGAAUAGAAAGGGAGGAGAGGAGAGGAAUAGAAAGGGAGGAGAGGAAUAGAAAGAGAGGAGAGGAAUAGAAAGAGAGGAGGGGAGUGGAAUAGAAAGAGAGGAGAGGAAUAGAAAGGGGUCAAUGUUAUAACUGGAGAACUGGGGC
Oncorhynchus tshawytscha (Chinook salmon) is the source of this 622-nucleotide long non-coding RNA. Lineage: Eukaryota; Metazoa; Chordata; Actinopteri; Salmoniformes; Salmonidae. The record is from Ensembl.